This 720-nucleotide unclassified non-coding RNA is filed under the name Hevea brasiliensis (rubber tree). The record is from RNAcentral. Lineage: Eukaryota; Viridiplantae; Streptophyta; Magnoliopsida; Malpighiales; Euphorbiaceae.
GAACAAGAGAGGGCAAUAUUCUGUACUUCCAUUUCUUCUUCACAUCCAAAUACUGAUCUGAUCCAAAAGAAUCAAAGGUUUUUCCUGGGAUUCUUUAACAAGAGAGAAUUACAGAAAUGGGUCGUGGAGUCAGCUAUGGAGGAGGGCAAAGUUCACUGGGAUACUUAUUUGGAAACGGUGAGGCGCCAAAACCAACCACGGGAAAUGCCCCAGCUGUUCAAAGUGAAGGGCAGGCAAUAAAUAAGGAGCCAGCUUCAAAGCCUACCGUUUCCGCUACAGUUGAUGCUACUAAGCAGAUUCCUGCUGGUAUUCAGAGCACUGCUUCAAGAAACCAUUUUGGGGGAGAUGGUCAAAACACAGGCAACUUUAUCACGGACCGGCCAUCUACCAAAGUCCAUGCUGCUCCUGGAGGUGGAUCUUCUUUGGGUUAUCUCUUCGGCGGUGGCAGCAACUAAGCAAUUCUCCAAUAUACAGUUGGAUAAUUGUUUUAUCACUUCUUUACCUUUUGUCUAUCAACACUAUGUUGUAAUUGUAAUUGUGAGUACUUCAGGUUGUUGUGAAGGGUUAGUUGCAUAAGGCUUUGGUCCAAAGUCCCAGUUGACACCCAUGAAACUAAAGUUACUUUCAAUGUAAUAUGCCAACCUUUGUUAAUUGAUCAUUUUGAUUGAACAGCUUUUCUUGCCUAAACUUCAUAUCUAUGAUUGUUAAGGGAAACUAGAC